CGCGGCCUAUCAGCUUGUUGGUGAGGUAACGGCUCACCAAGGCGACGACGGGUAGCCGGCCUGAGAGGGUGACCGGCCACACUGGGACUGAGACACGGCCCAGACUCCUACGGGAGGCAGCAGUGGGGAAUAUUGCACAAUGGGCGCAAGCCUGAUGCAGCGACGCCGCGUGAGGGAUGACGGCCUUCGGGUUGUAAACCUCUUUCAGCCGGGGAGAAGCGAAAGUGACGGUACCUGCAGAAGAAGCGCCGGCUAACUACGUGCCAGCAGCCGCGGUAAUACGUAGGGCGCGAGCGUUGUCCGGAAUUAUUGGGCGUAAAGAGCUUGUAGGCGGUUUGUCGCGUCUGCUGUGAAAGCCCGGGGCUUAACCCCGGGUUUGCAGUGGGUACGGGCAGACUAGAGUGCAGUAGGGGAGACUGGAAUUCCUGGUGUAGCGGUGAAAUGCGCAGAUAUCAGGAGGAACACCAAUGGCGAAGGCAGGUCUCUGGGCUGUAACUGACGCUGAGAAGCGAAAGCAUGGGGAGCGAACAGGAUUAGAUACCCUGGUAGUCCAUGCCGUAAACGUUGGGCACUAGGUGUGGGGAACAUUCCACGUUUUCCGCGCCGUAGCUAACGCAUUAAGUGCCCCGCCUGGGGAGUACGG
This 643-nucleotide ribosomal RNA is filed under the name uncultured bacterium. RNAcentral describes it as "bacterial SSU rRNA". It matches the Rfam family "Bacterial small subunit ribosomal RNA", at positions 232 to 885 of the family's 1533-position model. The record is from RNAcentral.